AGGACUGGGGAAGGGGUGGGGAAGAUGCAGCUGCCUUUUAUAGUCUCUUGCCAUGUGGCCUGUGCUUCCUUUGUUCCAAACACAAGCUGCCCAGCAUAUGGCUUGGGAGCCUUAGAGUUCUCUCCAUGGGCAUGUCCCUGCGUGCCUUGCUGAGUCACAAGGUAUAUCUGCCUUCUCUCAGUGGGUCAGUUGUAUAGUUGAUGGUCCUUAACGGGCCAUCAAGCAGACUAGGCAGUGCUGAUGCCAAACUUUCCAGAGGUGUCACCCAGAAGCACAGCACAAGUUUGAA
Long non-coding RNA from Dermochelys coriacea (leatherback sea turtle), 289 nucleotides. RefSeq lists it as uncharacterized. The transcript has 3 exons. Lineage: Eukaryota; Metazoa; Chordata; Testudines; Dermochelyidae. The record is from RefSeq and is a predicted model, not a curated record.